AUCGGCAUUUUGCCAGACAAUAAGUCACGAAGUGCCGAUUUUAUAUCAAGUUCGUCAGUUUAGGGACCAAGAAAUUGUAUUCUAUCUGUCGAAGGACCUUGAAGCAAUUUUUUCCUACUCAAACUCGGGCCAUUUCCAUCUACUCUUUCCCUCCCACAAACCCUAACCCUAGAUCUUCCCACCUCCAAAUCUCCAAGCUCCUGCCGCUAGGCAAUCAUCCAGCGUCCGAGGAGGUGCUGCUCUUCGAUUCCGGAGUCCUCGUGUUCGUUUGAUCUUCCACUCCAUCCCUUCGAGUCGGAUGAGAUGACUUUGCUGCUAGAAAAUGGUGAUCUACUAAAGCAUGGCUUCAACUUUGAAAUCUUACCAAACUCAGGAGCACCUGCUUCAGUGACAGAGUCAUUUCUUUUUUGUUUUUCUGAUGUAACUACUAUGCCGAUCUGAAUGUCUUUGGUCAAUAUAAUGAUGCAACUGCUGAUGUUUUGUGACUUUGGCAAUCAUGCAGGAUGACAGCAUAAAACCGAAAAAAAGAAGAUUCCAACACUUUGAACUUUCAUGAAAAACUUUCCAGUUCACACAGCAGUACUUCGUAAAAGCUCAUGCAGAGAUUUUGAACAUUUGAAGCCUGUGACAGGGAAAGCGAACAAACUAGGACACUACUUUAUGGCCAUGAUAUUUGAUUCUGUUAGUAUCGCAUGGUAAUUUGUAUAGCAUGAUUGUUCUGAAAGGUGCCAUUGUUUCAUUUUUUUUCCUCUUGGGACGCUUUUGCAGACAUCGUUUCCUAGCCGAUCAUGUAUUGUUCCUUAAUAACCUUAAACUCCUUUUUACCGCCAUCUUGGUAUUUUCUUAUAUCAGAUGAUUAAAAUUUUUUGAUGUACAAGUUGCACAUGUGCGCGCACAAACACAUGAAAAAAAGAAAAGGGAUUAGUUCAAACUCUUGCUACUUGGGUUGAUUUAGCACAUGGAAAGUAUUCAAAGCCUUUGUAUCAAUCAUCAAUCCAUGUUCAUAUUUCAUAACAACCAUCACCUGUUAAAAUGGUGCAGAUGAUGUGCUCGAAAAGCAUGAUGCCUGGAACUUGGCGUGGGCAGCGUCGACGUUUCAUGGAAUUCAGCCUCGAAAAGAUGCUGAUCAAACUUGUAGACUAAAUUUUACAUAUAUUUUCACUUGUAUAACUAUCACUAAUGUACCAAAGUUUCCAAUUGGCAGGAAUUUUGGCCCUGAUCUGCCCUUGAGGGAACCCAAGGGUACAAAAAAGGGAAGCAUACCAGCUUCAGCAGCAAGAGUUGGCCUCCACAUGGAAGACAACCUGUAGUGGUUGGACCAGAAGCGGGCGAGCAUCCAUGUGCUGCCAUUUUUUAUUGGCAUGCAUUAGUGGAAGCUCUGCUGUCAAUUUAGGGUUUGGCAACGGCACUCCGAACAUGUUUAUGGCCCUUAUGCCGGAUUGGUGUCUCUACUUUGCCAAAAGGAUUAUUUCACUCUACUUUGGUUCCGCUUUUAUUGCAUCUAGGGGCAGCUUCUGUUGAUCUACUCCCAUUCUCUUAAAAUUGUCUUCCUUUAUCUAUAACUACUUUGAAAGGGUUUCAGGAAUUUGCAAGGAGCAUUGGCAAGAGAAGGUCUUUCAUGUCGAAUGCCAUGCUAUUUUUCUGUCUUUCUAAUAGAUCUACUACAGGCAGGACUUUUCAAUGGGGCAGCUUUUUCUCGAAUAUCCCUAAUCCCUUGGAGGUGGGAUUGAAACUUCAUUUUGUACCAACUUAGUCAGCCAAUACCUUUCGAUAUUAUGCAUGGAA
Phoenix dactylifera (date palm) is the source of this 1785-nucleotide non-coding RNA. The record is from RefSeq and is a predicted model, not a curated record. Lineage: Eukaryota; Viridiplantae; Streptophyta; Magnoliopsida; Arecales; Arecaceae.